AAUUUUCCCUGAAUAUAGACUCAUAUAUCUUCCAUCCAUAAAAUUUUCAGAAUUUUAGGUUUGGCCAAUCAAUACCAGAUUUUUCUUAAAGUUUCCCCUGUUUCACUGUUUGACUAAUCUGACCACUCUUCACUACGAAUCAAAUUUCUCAUAGUACAGAAUUCAAAAUAUGUUCUAUUUGAUUUCAUUUGAAACUAGACUCAUUAAGGAAUCUAAGCAUAUAAAUUUUAUCUUAUAACCAUUUUUGUACAAAUUAUAAUGAUUUUCUAAAAACAGAACAGGGG
This 284-nucleotide long non-coding RNA is filed under the name Gossypium barbadense (sea-island cotton). RNAcentral's name for it is "long non-coding RNA (GBAR_LNC003026)". The record is from RNAcentral. Lineage: Eukaryota; Viridiplantae; Streptophyta; Magnoliopsida; Malvales; Malvaceae.